Molecule: long non-coding RNA, 2311 nt
Organism: Lepidothrix coronata (blue-crowned manakin)
Lineage: Eukaryota; Metazoa; Chordata; Aves; Passeriformes; Pipridae
Exons: 3
Source: RefSeq, a predicted model, not a curated record
CUUCCUUGGUGACUGGUUUGUAACCAAGGAAGUGGCCAUAUACCCAGUAUUCCCUACGAUUUUUACGUAAGCAGGGGGUAUAAAGAAGAAGGGAGGAGAGGCCUUUGCUCUCUUCCCUUCCGGUGGUUCUGAAGGUGCAGGUUCCCUGCUGUUGGUUCUGCUGUGUGGGGUUGUGAGGCCUAGUGAGGCCUUGUAGACCUUGGGAGGCAGAGGGUGCCGGCGGUCAUUCAGCGUGACUUCUGUUGUCCCAAGGAGAGUAAUUUCUAUAGUUUUUUUCCCCUUUCCUAAAGGGGGAGGGACAGAAAAGGCUUUUGCUGAGCCUUGGAAGUUUGGCGAGAAGCCAGCUCAAAAUGUGCUCAACCCUUCAUCAUGUCAAGCUCUCAACAAAUAUGUCUCCAAAACUAUUUUAACCUGAUCAGACAUUUCAGUCCAAAACUUGGAGUGGAAGACAGAAAAGCAUCUUAGGUCAUAGAGCUUCCAGAGCACAUUUUUACUGACAUUCACCAUCCCAAAAGACUGAAGGUCAAGUAUCCUCUUCAGGUCAAGAAGUGGGGUAUGAAAGGCAGAGAGCAUUUUGUUCUUGUUAGAAAUCUCAAACUUAUGUUCCUGUGGUUUAGGGUAUGGUUGUUCUUUUUUUCUUUCUUUCUUUCUUUAUUUAUUUAUUUAAUGUUGCACUUCUUUUUUAUACCAGAAAUCUCUGGAAAAAAGCAAGUAAAAUCAUGCUUUCUUCAUUAUUUUAUGAGGCUGCUUUGCAUGAAGGGUUAUUUAACCUUUUGAGUUAGUAACGAAGAGCAAGCUUUAAAACAUUUAUAAAUGUAUUUUCAGAUGUGCCAGUAGCUGUUAUAUAAAGAGUUUGCAAUUAAGAAUUCUAUGAACAGAAUAUUUAAGAAAAACUUGCUGUUAAGAGCGUAAAAUAUGUAGUUUAUUCAUUGCCUAUCUAAAGCAAAAGGUGCCAGACUGCUGUUGGAAACAGUUUUGGAAAACUAAAAAAUGCUUCUCUUUAGAAAGCUUCUAGCCUUUCUAAAUUUGUGCAGUGACAAAAGAAUAUGAAAAGUUUGCAAUGAAUACUUGUCAUCAACAAAAAGAAUUUAGGAACAUUGAAUUAAAGCUCAGGCUUCUCUUGCUCUUGAGCUCCAUAUUUGGCAGACCAUUUUUUCUCUCAGAAAAAAUCCAUAGUGACAGGGGAUGAAAGUCACAUGUAAAAGAUGUGCCAAAAAUUUUGCAUCCAAAAUACUCUCUCUAUUGUCUUGUACCUUGACUUUUGUUAUUUUUGUUUAGAAAUUUCUGUUUAGAAAUGAUUCAUGGGGCAGAGCUAGAAAAAUGGAAUUUGCACAAUCAAACAGAAAAAAUGCUGGGGAAUCAGAGCAGACAUGUUGUGAAGCCAUGCAUCACACUUAAAUGAUUCUGAAUAAAUGAUCUGUAAAAUCACACCUGUUUAUUUGUAGAUAAUCUACAACAAAAGGAAUAAAAAAAAAAAUUAAAAUUCCUGUGACAGCUUGACCAAUUUAAGUUUUUGCAUAAAGAAACCAGCAUGUUUAAAACAAGCUUACACCUUGAAUAAUAGGGCCUUAAAGGGUUGUUCUGCAAUAUUGUAGUUAAGAGAGUAUGUCAGCCAGAAUUAUAUGUGUGCAGAUUUGAAAUAAAAUGAAUGGGUUGUAAAAGACUUGACUGCCCUUGAUCUUUGCACUUGUUCCUCACUGAUGUCUUGGAGAUCUACACAAGUGUAUCAAGACAUCUAUCGUCUCUAUGUAGCUGACUGGCAAAGUUCCCCAUGCAUAGUGGAUUUGAGUUUAACUUGGUUAUGAUGUAGGGCAAGUAUUACACAUUUUUCAGAAUUUAUGUAGCAAGUUUCAAAGUACUAUUUUGUAAUUUUAAAUAAUAUGUGAUUUUGAAAGGGGUAAAGGUGUUCAUUUCCAGUCCCGCAAAUGUGUUUCUUUCUGAUAAGCAAGUGAGAAGACUGAAAUAUCGUUAGAUGCUGGCAGUACAAAAUGGCAUACCCCCACGCACAGUCUUUGACAGAAAGAAUGUGCUUCCUUUUUUAAUUUGCAUUUCUAAAUUUGCAGUGGCAGGUUGUGCUGUUUUUGACUGGGGUAAGGGGUGCACAAGGAGAUGGGAGGGGACACAGCCAGGACAACUGACUUCAACUGACCAGAGGGAUAUUCCAUACAAUACAGUGUCAUACUUAACAUAUAGUGCUGGGGCAAGAAGUAGAAAGGGGGGGACGCUGGGAGUGGUGACAUUUGUAAUCUGUCGUGGUUUAACCACAGCCAGCCACCAUGCCCCACGCAGCUGCUUGCUCACUCUCCUACCA